CACCGCGGUUAUACGAGAGGCUCAAGUUGAUAAACACCGGCGUAAAAAGUGGUUAGCACACCAGUCAGCUAAAGCUAAACACCUUCAAAGCUGUUAUACCCACACGAAGACAGGAAGUACUUCUACGAAAGUGGCUUUAAACAAUGCUAUCCACGAAAGCUAGGAAA
RNAcentral lists this ribosomal RNA (167 nucleotides) under Inu ama. RNAcentral describes it as "partial 12S rRNA". The record is from RNAcentral. Lineage: Eukaryota; Metazoa; Chordata; Actinopteri; Gobiiformes; Gobiidae.